GACGAACGCUGGCGGCGUGCUUAACACAUGCAAGUCGAACGGAAAGGCCCCUUUGGGGGUACUCGAGUGGCGAACGGGUGCGUAACACGUGAGUAACCUGCCCUUGACUUCGGGAUAACUUCAGGAAACUGGGGCUAAUACCGGAUAGGAAUCCUUGCUGCAUGGUGGGGGUUGGAAAGCUUCGGCGGUUUUGGAUGGACUCGCGGCUUAUCAGCUUGUUGGUGGGGUAGUGUCUUACCAAGGCUUUUACGGGUAGCCGGCCUGAGAGGGCGACCGGCCACAUUGGGACUGAGAUACGGCCCAGACUCCUACGGGAGGCAGAAGUGGGGAAUCUUGCACAAUGGGCGGAAGCCUGAUGCAGCAACGCCGCGUGCGGGAUGACGGCCUUCGGGUUGUAAACCGCAUUCAGCAGGGGCGAAGCUUGUGGUGACGGUACCUGCAGAAGAAGCACCGGCUAACUACGUG
Molecule: ribosomal RNA, 465 nt
Filed under: uncultured bacterium
Lineage: Bacteria
Description: partial 16S ribosomal RNA
Rfam family: Bacterial small subunit ribosomal RNA
Source: RNAcentral